GUAUUCUCAAUUUUAUAUCAUAUUUUAGUGACGGCAACAAAGUUUCAGAACCCAUCUGUCGAGUGGAUCCAGUCGGCACGAGAGAAUUCCUGACAUGCUCUACACGUUCUAAGAGUCCUUGUUUACCCGUCCUCCAUCAAGUAUUAAGGGUGGAGAAAAACCAAACUAAUAUGCGAGAAACAGGCAAAGAAGUAUUCCAAUAAAUACGACUCUAAUAUAAUCAGACAAGGAAUAACAGUGAGUACCCACUGUUUAGUAAUAAUUGAGGAAAAGGUUUUAAGGUGGAGGGAACAUGAGCUACAUGCUUUAAACAAGUGGCUGUCUGGACUUCUCUGACCCAAGCCCUGGUAAUGGGUGCAGUACCCGCAAGGUAUGGAUUUCGAGUAUAUUAAUUCAUCUGAAGACUACAUUAGAGAAGGUAAGAAAAGGCAAAUUAUUAAAAUGUAAAGGUUAAAAAAAUCCCAGGCACUGAAAUACUGUGAAUUUAAACAUUACAAGGUAACUAAAAUUUUCAGCCUCUUUAAUAAAUCAUUUGCUAUGGGAAAAUAUAUAUAGUAGAUCGAGAGAUACAUAUAUGAUGAGGUAUACAAAAGUACAUAAAUACAUUGACAUAUGUAUGUAUGAAUGUAUAUGCAUUUACACGUAAAGCUAAAAAUUCACAUUGACUUUACAAAUAUCGUUACCACUGUGAUGGCUUGUUUAUUAAGCAUAUUAUACUUUAUAAUAUAUCUAAAUACAUGGUUUUAGAUAUAGAUUUGACUGUAAAUGAAGCUGCACUGCUUUAUUUCAGUGUGGCAUGUACAAAGACAGGAUUUUUUCUCCUUUCUAGCUAAAUGUGGCUUGAAGAAAAAAACCGGCCUAUGCAAAGAAAAAUGAGUCAUGAUUCAGCUCUCUGUUUGCAUAUGAACUGGUUUGCAGUAAAAAGAAGGACAAGAAUAAAAAGCAGUGCCUUUAUGUGCAUUAAUUAAGCCUGUUACAGAAAGAUGGCAGUGUUAUUGUUUAGGGCCAAUAUUUUCACCUUAUUUAUAGUGUAAUACUCUGUCUGAGCCUAAAAGUAAAACCCACACCCCUCACUGUAUGGAGGCCAGUAAGUCUGAUCACAGGACCCAAACUCUCCAACACAGGGUGUGGGAUGUGACUGAGGGCACAUCUCCCCCCUAUUUCACACUGAAUCCUCUAAGACAUGAAACCCCCUGCUCUGAAAAGGACUUUUUAAUCUUCCUUCAGCACAGCAGAUAAUAUUUAGCACAUUAGCUAAAAUGUUUCCCUAAAAUGGCAACACACAAGGGAUUCUUAUGUCACCAAACAGUUGGUGAGAUGUCAUCAUUUCAACCCUGUCUCUUGCUGGUUACAGAUGGAGGUACAAAAAGUGAGUGGAAGAAAAAAUAAAUAAUAUUGCAUCAUCCUGUGGUGGCUUCAGAGGAAGACCAGAACGCACAGAAAUCCCAUUUCGUGGCCUUCAGAAUUAACUCAGUCAGUUCUAGAUUAAAAAGAAAUGUAGGCAUGAAAGAAAACAGAGGAGCAAGCCUUAAAACAGGACAUGAUUGUUUCCCGUCUGGAAAAGACUGCACUAGAUCAUGGAGAAGGACAGGAAUCCUGAAGCCCUCCACGGACGGAGGUCAGUAACGCAAGGGCUAGGAAGGAGGAGGGGCUUUGGCCUCCACACAGUUGAUACGUUGAUUCUACGGAGAAAGGAAGUCCUACUCCUGCCAUUGUCUGGGACUGAAUCAUAACAAGGUCUCUGAUUACUGCCAGAAGAAAAGAAAUUUGGGGUCAAAGAAGCGCUAUUUGCUUCAUGACCUUAUUGACAGGUUAUUCUGCAAUAGACGUAACAAGGAUAAAAGAACAUUAACUCCAGAUUCUACAGGAAGCCCUAAGUUCAUCAGAAACUUACCAAUAUAAAAAGAAGAUGGGGACGGUAUUUCUUCAUAACAAAUGAUGGUCUAUGAAGAGAAAAACAGUAAGACACUGAAUGCAACACAAGAGCCAAAUCAUUAAGACGGCACGGCCUUUCUUAAGAGCGAUUUGGUAACUCCUUUCAACAGCCUUUAAAAAUGUGAGCGUCCUUUGACUCAGCGACUUCACAACUAGGAAUCUGUUGUAAGAAAACAGUCGUGGAUCCACUUGUCAAUUUAGAUAUGAUUUAUAAGCAUUACUUUUAAGGACCAAAAAAAAAAAAAAAAAGAAAGAAAGAAACAAAAUGGGAUCAAAUAAUGAGCAACAGAAAACAUUUCUCUACUGUCUCUCCCUCAGGGGAAGUAACGGAACAACCUGAAUCACUAUUUAAGAUGCAGCACAGAACACAACACAGACCUGCAUUCAAAUCCUGCCUCUACGACUUGUAUAUUUGGAAAUGUUUAGAAUAAUAAGGUACCUGAGAUUUAUUUUUGCACAUGGUAUGAGAAGGACAGCGAAAAUUAUUUUCUUCUGGAAGUACGGUGAGUUACGCCAAUGAUGAUUUAUUUACUAAAUAAACCAUCUUUUCUGAACUGAUUUUUGCAGGUUUAUCAUAAAUCAGAUCUUCAUAUAUACUUGAACCUCUAAUCGAUUCAAUAGAUCUAUUUCAAUGUUAAUGCAUAUUGAUUUAAUUGUGGGAAAUUUAUAGUACAUGGUUUACAGUGGUCCCUCAAUAAAGUAUUUCAAGAUCGGGGAGACAAAUCCUUGGAUCUGUUAUUCCAUUGGUUCUUUAGAAAUAAUAAGAGGAUGGUGGGAGAAACUGGUUAUGCUUUUUCUCAAACAUCCUUCAACAAGAGUGUGUGCACGGACAAGAUCAGAGACGGUUCCGAGAAGGAAACGGCCAGGUGGAAGGAAAGGAAGGAAGCAAAAAGCCACUUUCUAAGGCUGAGGGGUAUCUGAGUCUUACAAGAGUGUUAAAGUCUCCUUGUAUCUUAAUUUAAUAUUCUUUGUUUUCCAUCCUUACUUCCUUUAGAGAAGCUAUAGUUCUAGCCAAAAGGGUAAGGUUAUGAAGUGGUCCAAAAGCAAGUCAAGGGAGUUCCCUGGUGACUCAGUGGGUUGGGGAUCCGGCAUUGCUGCU
This 3034-nucleotide long non-coding RNA is filed under the name Sus scrofa (pig). Its description in RNAcentral is "lncRNA (ENSSSCG00000054120.1)". Lineage: Eukaryota; Metazoa; Chordata; Mammalia; Artiodactyla; Suidae. The record is from RNAcentral.